RNAcentral lists this ribosomal RNA (421 nucleotides) under Triticum aestivum (bread wheat). RNAcentral's name for it is "partial small subunit ribosomal RNA". Lineage: Eukaryota; Viridiplantae; Streptophyta; Magnoliopsida; Poales; Poaceae. The record is from RNAcentral.
GGAAUGGAUCAAGCCCAAGCCUUGUUCUUCUUGCAAUGGAUCGGCGCCCACCGGACCCAAAUCGGCGCCCACCGGACCCAAAUCGGCGCCCACCGGACCCAAUUGACUGAAUUUUUUGAUCUUUACUUUGGAGAUGCUGCUGUCAUAUGCAGCAACAUUGGUCGCAACUAUCUGAAGAGUGCCUACCGGUUUGUCAUUGAUACAUUCAAUCGAGGGUAUUGCUGGCAUGGAUCAUUUUCUGUACGCAAUUUCCUGGUCGCUGGUGAAUUAUUUAUGAUGGGCAUACCUGCACUCCACAAGACUCUUGGUUUUCAUGACCUCCUUAUUGAUCUUAGAGCCUUGAGAAAUGCUUUGCUGCCAUACUACUGUGAAGGAAACCAACCUGGAAACGUGUCUGCACUAUUCACAGACCAUCUUCAUU